UACCCAGAAGACUGAAGUAGAGAAUGAUUGACUAUGCCUUUGAGGUGAUGAUAUCUAAGGAUUUUUAGAAGAAGUGUUAGGGUGAAGUUUCUUUUGGUAUAGCUUUUGGAGAUUAUGAAGAAUAACAAGUUUUAGGAGUUCUGAUGUUGUGUUGUGAGCAGGAAAAGAAGCUUAGUGAUUUUGAGAUUGAAU
Molecule: long non-coding RNA, 192 nt
Organism: Quercus lobata
Lineage: Eukaryota; Viridiplantae; Streptophyta; Magnoliopsida; Fagales; Fagaceae
Exons: 3
Source: RefSeq, a predicted model, not a curated record